RNAcentral lists this long non-coding RNA (380 nucleotides) under Nicotiana benthamiana. RNAcentral describes it as "long non-coding RNA (NBEN_LNC025490)". The record is from RNAcentral. Lineage: Eukaryota; Viridiplantae; Streptophyta; Magnoliopsida; Solanales; Solanaceae.
GCAUAGAUCCAAUGCCUGAAGCUGGAUUCCUCUCCGGGACUGAAAAAGAAUGCUGAUAAUUACCCACUCCUUGCGCCAACUUUGGACUAGUAGUUACCUGAUUCAAAUGGCCAACCCUUCCGGUAUCUUUGCCAAUAGGUGCAAUCUUCGGACUUGAGAGGUGUGCAGGAAGAAUAGAGGCCAGGCCCAUAAGAUUACCAUUUACAGGGCUGAGAUUCCUUCCGGUAUCUUUACCGAUAGGUGCAAUCUUCGGACUUGAGAGGUGUACAGGAAGAAUAGAGGCCAGCCCUGUCAUAAGAUUACCAUUUACAGGGCUGAGAUUUCUCAGACCAGGUGAUUGACUAUAACCUCGCAAAGGGUUGGGUUCGACAGGACUGCCG